Molecule: ribosomal RNA, 501 nt
Filed under: uncultured bacterium
Lineage: Bacteria
Description: partial 16S ribosomal RNA
Rfam family: Bacterial small subunit ribosomal RNA
Source: RNAcentral
AUUGAACGCUGGCGGCAGGCUUAACACAUGCAAGUCGAGCGGGGGAAGGUAGCUUGCUACCGGACCUAGCGGCGGACGGGUGAGUAAUGCUUAGGAAUCUGCCUAUUAGUGGGGGACAACAUCUCGAAAGGGAUGCUAAUACCGCAUACGUCCUACGGGAGAAAGCAGGGGAUCUUCGGACCUUGCGCUAAUAGAUGAGCCUAAGUCGGAUUAGCUAGUUGGUGGGGUAAAGGCCGACCAAGGCGACGAUCUGUAGCGGGUCUGAGAGGAUGAGCCGCCACACGGGGACUGAGACACGGCCCAGACUCCUGCGGGAGGUAGCAGUGGGGAAUAUUGGACAAUGGGGGGAACCCUGAUCCAGCCAUGCCGCGUGUGUGAAGAGGGCCUUAUGGUUGUAAAGCACUUUAAGCGAGGAGGAGGCUCUUUUGGUUAAUACCCAAGAUGAGUGGACGUUACUCGCAGAAUAAGCACCGGCUAACUCUGUGCCAGCCGCCGCCGUAA